RNAcentral lists this ribosomal RNA (458 nucleotides) under uncultured bacterium. RNAcentral describes it as "partial 16S ribosomal RNA". It matches the Rfam family "Bacterial small subunit ribosomal RNA", at positions 338 to 795 of the family's 1533-position model. The record is from RNAcentral.
CCUACGGGGGGCAGCAGUGGGGGAUAUUGGACAAUGGGGGGAACCCUGAUCCAGCGACGCCGCGUGAGUGAAGAAGUAUUUCGGUAUGUAAAGCUCUGUCAGCGGGGAAGAAACACGGUUCGCGAGAGCCGCGGACGGUACCCGACCAAGAAGCCCCGGCUAACUACGUGCCAGCAGCCGCGGUAAUACGUAGGGGGCAAGCGUUAUCCGGAUUCACUGGGUGUAAAGGGAGCGUAGACGGCGAUACAAGUCUGGAGUGAAAGGCCGGGGCCCAACCCCGGGACUGCUCUGGAAACUGCCUGGCUGGAGUACAGGAGAGGUAAGUGGAAUUCCUGGUGUAGCGGUGAAAUGCGUAGAUAUUAGGAGGAACACCAGUGGCGAAGGCGGCUUACUGGACUGUAACUGACGUUGAGGCUCGAAAGCGUGGGGAGCAAACAGGAUUAGAUACCCGUGUAGUC